UCUCUGUCUCUUUCCCCCUCUCUUUCCCCACUCCACAGAGUUAUAUUCAUGGAAGCAGUCAGGCUCAGUUUGUGGCUGAGUCUCACAUCAUCCUUCUUCUGAAUGCUGCAAUCACCAUGGGGAUGGUGCUACUAAAUGAGGCUGCCACCUCCAAGGGAGACGUUGGCAAGAGACGAAUUAUCUGCCUGGUUGGCCUUGCCUGGGGUGGGUUUUUCUUCAGCUUCCUGCUCUCCAUUUUUAGGUCCAAGUACCAUGGAUACCCCUACAGCUUCCUUAUUAAGUGAAAAAAGACAGAAGAAGAGGUCGGAGGAUGGCAAAGAGGCAGUAGGUGAGGAGAAGAGGAGUCGAGAAGAUACUUGAAGAGGAGGCAGCGUCACUAUUGAGUCUAGAGUGCAUGGUGGGGUUUCUUUGUUAGUGUUUUAUUUGUUGUUGACUCCUCAUGUAUUCUGC
Long non-coding RNA from Etheostoma spectabile (orangethroat darter), 450 nucleotides. RefSeq lists it as uncharacterized. The record is from RefSeq and is a predicted model, not a curated record. NCBI's taxonomy places the organism in Eukaryota, Metazoa, Chordata, Actinopteri, Perciformes, Percidae. The transcript is spliced from 4 exons.